Long non-coding RNA from Populus nigra (black poplar), 1511 nucleotides. RefSeq lists it as uncharacterized. The record is from RefSeq and is a predicted model, not a curated record. The transcript has 2 exons. Lineage: Eukaryota; Viridiplantae; Streptophyta; Magnoliopsida; Malpighiales; Salicaceae.
CACUAUCCUUUGCCUUAAGGACGGCCAAAAACCCCAGAGUUCAUCCAACAGUUAUGCGAGUGUGUAUGAUGAAGAGUUUUUGAGAAAAGUUAGAACAGAAAUGCCAAGCGGUGCUAAUAUCAAUUUCAUAGAGGAUAGUGCAAGAGAUGGAUCUGGAAUCUUCUCGUAGUUCAGUCAAUUUUGGCAGACUACGACCUAUCCUGGCAGGUCGUUGCCCGAAACAGAGCCAGAAGCUCUAUCAAACCUAUCAGAAUGGAUGAAUUUGCGAGAGCUUGGGCCGAUAGGGGAUGUACUUGCUUCCGAGGAUAUUUCUAGCACUUGCUUUUGUGACAUUAAAAACGCCAUCAACAUUGCCUCCCUAUCAAGUAUAAGCAGGGUACUGAAGCAUUAACGUCGCGGGGCGUGUGUUACUGGGAAGAAAGCAAGCACAUGGAUGGCCAAGGUAGAUAAAAUUAACUUGCUAAACUAUGAGACCACAAUGUAAUCAGCUCUGUCGGGGCAACAAAUUGCUAAGAUAAUCAGUUAUUUCCAUGACGAAUUUCAGCUUACCUUCAAUGCAUCACACAAAGGAUCAAAACCAGCUUGGUAAACUGAUGUUGCUUCAUUUUCUAUGCUUGUGUAGAUGGCAUAAUUUACCUAGCUUAUACUCGGCCCCAGCAACCCACUAAUUCUUGCGUUUCAAUUAUUAUUAUUAUUAUUUUGCAAUAACAAAAGCAUUACUUUAGGAAUUUUUAAUCGAAUUGUUUAAAAGCUAAUCCAGACACCUUGUUAAUUAAAAAAAAUACCUUACAAAUUAUGCCUAUGCCCUAUUAGAGUCAAAUCAAAUUUACUCUCUGUCCAAGGCCAUCCAAGCUCAAAAAAAGUAUGAAAAAACUGGAUUUAAUCAAAUGCUUAUUAUUUCAUUUGCUUUAUUAUUCCCGAAUAAAGCUAAGAUUCUACAAAGCGCUUUCUUUUUUCUACACAAUAACAUGAAAAACCCAGAUAAAAGAAACAGCUAGAACAGAAUUCAAAGUCUAAGAGUGAUUCUAUACAAAACAACCAACUGGGUUAUCCUCAAACUUGCCGAGUCACACAACUCUACUUCGGUUGCUGAAUCGUCCUUGGACUCAGCUUCACACUCACUAUCUUGGGUGCCUUCUCCAAAUACCUCGGUGCCUGAGCACGAUCAACUCGACCCUUUUUCCACUUCAUCACUCCAAGCGAAAUCAAUUCCUUGUUGCAUCCCUUCACCUCCUCCUCCUCCUCCUCCCCUGCAACAAAAAGAGAGAAAAGAAAACCGAGUUAGAGAGUAGACUUGGCGACUCGGGCGAGUUACCACAGAAAUUUUAAUUUCUAGGACGGCACUUACCUUUGAUAGUGUCGUAAAUUGGGUCGUCGAAGAAGAGAGAGUAGAGAUCGUCGGGGAGGAAAGAAUCGUAAAUAUCAGAGAAUGAAGGGUCAGAUUCGGGAUCAUAGAAACGUUCUUCGAGCCAGUAGUCUCGGAACCAAGGGGAGGACUGGACAAGGGCCCA